GUGAACGCCCCUCGGGCGUUAUCCAACCAACCUCUGUGAACUGUGGCCCUCGGGCCUUUUACAAACAUCGAACGUCAUGAACGUAGUAAUCUAUAACAAAACA
This 103-nucleotide unclassified non-coding RNA is filed under the name uncultured Basidiomycota. RNAcentral's name for it is "sequence contains ITS1". Lineage: Eukaryota; Fungi; Basidiomycota. The record is from RNAcentral.